RNAcentral lists this ribosomal RNA (1500 nucleotides) under Klebsiella sp. L212. RNAcentral's name for it is "bacterial SSU rRNA". It matches the Rfam family "Bacterial small subunit ribosomal RNA". The record is from RNAcentral. Lineage: Bacteria; Pseudomonadati; Pseudomonadota; Gammaproteobacteria; Enterobacterales; Enterobacteriaceae.
AGAGUUUGAUCCUGGCUCAGAUUGAACGCUGGCGGCAGGCCUAACACAUGCAAGUCGAGCGGUAGCACAGAGAGCUUGCUCUCGGGUGACGAGCGGCGGACGGGUGAGUAAUGUCUGGGAAACUGCCUGAUGGAGGGGGAUAACUACUGGAAACGGUAGCUAAUACCGCAUAACGUCGCAAGACCAAAGUGGGGGACCUUCGGGCCUCAUGCCAUCAGAUGUGCCCAGAUGGGAUUAGCUAGUAGGUGGGGUAACGGCUCACCUAGGCGACGAUCCCUAGCUGGUCUGAGAGGAUGACCAGCCACACUGGAACUGAGACACGGUCCAGACUCCUACGGGAGGCAGCAGUGGGGAAUAUUGCACAAUGGGCGCAAGCCUGAUGCAGCCAUGCCGCGUGUGUGAAGAAGGCCUUCGGGUUGUAAAGCACUUUCAGCGGGGAGGAAGGCGGUGAGGUUAAUAACCUCACCGAUUGACGUUACCCGCAGAAGAAGCAACCGGCUAACUCCGUGCCAGCAGCCGCGGUAAUACGGAGGGUGCAAGCGUUAAUCGGAAUUACUGGGCGUAAAGCGCACGCAGGCGGUCUGUCAAGUCGGAUGUGAAAUCCCCGGGCUCAACCUGGGAACUGCAUUCGAAACUGGCAGGCUAGAGUCUUGUAGAGGGGGGUAGAAUUUCCAGGUGUAGCGGUGAAAUGCGUAGAGAUCUGGAGGAAUACCGGUGGCGAAGGCGGCCCCCUGGACAAAGACUGACGCUCAGGUGCGAAAGCGUGGGGAGCAAACAGGAUUAGAUACCCUGGUAGUCCACGCUGUAAACGAUGUCGAUUUGGAGGUUGUGCCCUUGAGGCGUGGCUUCCGGAGCUAACGCGUUAAAUCGACCGCCUGGGGAGUACGGCCGCAAGGUUAAAACUCAAAUGAAUUGACGGGGGCCCGCACAAGCGGUGGAGCAUGUGGUUUAAUUCGAUGCAACGCGAAGAACCUUACCUGGUCUUGACAUCCACAGAACUUUCCAGAGAUGGAUUGGUGCCUUCGGGAACUGUGAGACAGGUGCUGCAUGGCUGUCGUCAGCUCGUGUUGUGAAAUGUUGGGUUAAGUCCCGCAACGAGCGCAACCCUUAUCCUUUGUUGCCAGCGGUCCGGCCGGGAACUCAAAGGAGACUGCCAGUGAUAAACUGGAGGAAGGUGGGGAUGACGUCAAGUCAUCAUGGCCCUUACGACCAGGGCUACACACGUGCUACAAUGGCAUAUACAAAGAGAAGCGACCUCGCGAGAGCAAGCGGACCUCAUAAAGUAUGUCGUAGUCCGGAUUGGAGUCUGCAACUCGACUCCAUGAAGUCGGAAUCGCUAGUAAUCGUAGAUCAGAAUGCUACGGUGAAUACGUUCCCGGGCCUUGUACGCACCGCCCGUCACACCAUGGGAGUGGGUUGCAAAAGAAGUAGGUAGCUUAACCUUCGGGAGGGCGCUUACCACUUUGUGAUUCAUGACUGGGGUGAAGUCGUAACAAGGUA